CCGGACCAGUGCAAGGCACUAGAGGCUGUGCUUCCUCCCAAGGCAUCGGUUCAGCUGACUGACAUGGAGCUGGAUGAGUGCGAGGAAACAACCCUGCAUGAUGUUAACAUUGAGGAAGUGAUGCGUAGGAAACAGACUCAAGCUCAACAAGAAGCUUAUGAUGAAGAUGAGGACAUGCAUGGUGGUGCGCAGAGAGUACAAUGCGCUCAGCAAUGAUAAAAAAAAGCCGAAUGUCCGAGACACAGACGGUGGUUUUUGGCGAUGGAAUGUACUGUGGUUAAAAAA
This 285-nucleotide long non-coding RNA is filed under the name Gossypium barbadense (sea-island cotton). Its description in RNAcentral is "long non-coding RNA (GBAR_LNC005740)". Lineage: Eukaryota; Viridiplantae; Streptophyta; Magnoliopsida; Malvales; Malvaceae. The record is from RNAcentral.